This 417-nucleotide ribosomal RNA is filed under the name Hornodermoporus martius. Its description in RNAcentral is "partial large subunit ribosomal RNA". It matches the Rfam family "Eukaryotic large subunit ribosomal RNA", at positions 123 to 540 of the family's 3401-position model. The record is from RNAcentral. Lineage: Eukaryota; Fungi; Basidiomycota; Agaricomycetes; Polyporales; Polyporaceae.
GGCGGUCUUUGGCCGUCCGAGUUGUAGUCUGGAGAAGUGCUUUCCGUGCUGGACCGUGUACAAGUCUCUUGGAACAGAGCGUCAUAGAGGGUGAGAAUCCCGUCUUUGACCCGGACCAACAAUGCUUUGUGAUGCGCUCUCAAAGAGUCGAGUUGUUUGGGAAUGCAGCUCAAAAUGGGUGGUGAAUUCCAUCUAAAGCUAAAUAUUGGCGAGAGACCGAUAGCGAACAAGUACCGUGAGGGAAAGAUGAAAAGCACUUUGGAAAGAGAGUUAAACAGUACGUGAAAUUGCUGAAAGGGAAACGCUUGAAGUCAGUCGCGUCGUCCAGGACUCAGCCUUGCUUAUGGCUUGGUGCACUUUCUGGAUGACGGGCCAGAAUCGAUUCUGACCGUGGGAAAAGGGCUGGGGUAAUGUGGC